RNAcentral lists this ribosomal RNA (567 nucleotides) under uncultured bacterium. RNAcentral describes it as "partial 16S ribosomal RNA". It matches the Rfam family "Bacterial small subunit ribosomal RNA", at positions 355 to 911 of the family's 1533-position model. The record is from RNAcentral.
UGGGGAAUAUUGUACAAUGGGCGCAAGCCUGAUGCAGCCAUGCCGCGUGUGUGAAGAAGGCCUUCGGGUUGUAAAGCACUUUCAGCGAGGAGGAAGGUGGUGAGCUUAAUACGCUCAUCAAUUGACGUUACUCGCAGAAGAAGCACCGGCUAACUCCGUGCCAGCAGCCGCGGUAAUACGGAGGGUGCAAGCGUUAAUCGGAAUUACUGGGCGUAAAGCGCACGCAGGCGGUUUGUUAAGUCAGAUGUGAAAUCCCCGGGCUCAACCUGGGAACUGCAUUUGAAACUGGCAAGCUAGAGUCUCGUAGAGGGGGGUAGAAUUCCAGGUGUAGCGGUGAAAUGCGUAGAGAUCUGGAGGAAUACCGGUGGCGAAGGCGGCCCCCUGGACGAAGACUGACGCUCAGGUGCGAAAGCGUGGGGAGCAAACAGGGUUAGAUACCCUGGUAGUCCAGCGCUGUAAACGAUGUCGAUUUUGGAGGUUGUGCCCCUUGAGGCGUGGCUUCCGGAGCUAACGCGUUAAAUCGACCGCCUGGGGAGUACGGCCGCAAGGUUAAAACUCAAAUGAAUU